Molecule: long non-coding RNA, 206 nt
Filed under: Helianthus annuus (common sunflower)
Lineage: Eukaryota; Viridiplantae; Streptophyta; Magnoliopsida; Asterales; Asteraceae
Description: sRNA HanXRQr2_Chr07g0314161
Source: RNAcentral
UGGUGUACACAAGGUUUACAAGAGCCUGAUUCCAUGAACCUUCAAAGACCUUAUCAGCAAGAACAAGCCCAUGAAUGAGAGUAGUAUAGGUGGCCAAACUGGGUGGAUGCCCUUGCUUGAAGAUGGUUGCCAGUAGGGCAAAACCGUAAGUAACUUGAUUCAGGCGGCAAUGACAGUUAAUAGAGAUAGUCAUGGUAUAAAGAUCG